CACGAUUGACUGCAGGAGUUACAGGAAUUCUUUUCUUCUCUUCCUCCUGAAUGGCUUGGGUUAUGUCUGGGGAUGAGUAGGAGCGUUUCAGUUUGGAGUGCUCUCGUUCCCGCUCAACAGCCACCUGUGGCUUGGGUUUGCGGGUUGGUGGGGUGGCUGGAGGGGUGGAUGAGGGAGCCAUUUCUGGUGGAUACAUCUGAACAGUGUUCGUUGGCGAGUGAUAGUAACGAAAGGUUCCAGUGAUUGGAUCCAGAAACUUUGGGGGGGAAAGGAAAAGAGUUUUAAAACUAGGUUUAUGAAGUACUGCAGGAACAAUACAUGAGUUUCUUAAACACUGAGACCUUAACAAUAGCUACUGUCCUCAAUACUUAGUGGAUUAAAUUUAGCGGAAGGUGCCACUUUCACCUACAUGCAUUUAAACAGCAACUCCUUAGUACUAGAAUCAGCAGAUGAGCUUCCCUGAUUUCAUUACAGAAAAUUCAGAAAGAAGUCAGAAAAUAACUGCGUGUGGAAAUCAAAGAGGCAAAAAUAAAGAUGUGACUUAAAAAUGUGACAACUGAAAGGCACUGGGAAAUUGCACAAGGAGCUUGAUUAUGACAUCAGAAUAGAAAGUUACCUUUGCCCAACCGUCAGGCAGUCCUGGUAUUACCCUCCCCAUUUCUUCACUUCGUGCUCUGGUCAAUGGCUCCCGCUGGGACUUAUUUGGAGAUACAUCACCCAGUACACGUCUCUGCGUAUCCGGUGUUCGAGUUCCCUUUUCUCUUUUUUCUAUAGAUAUUUUGUCAGUCUCAACCUUUUUUGCAUCAAUGCUUUCUGGUUCAUUUUUAUUUUGCUUUUUUGCUUCUAUUGCUUCUUUGCGUGCUUUUUCUUUUUCCUUCUCCUCCUGUUCUCUUUUUAUCUGCUCAUCUCUCUCCUUCUGUUCCCUCUCCUCCUUGGAUUGCUGUAGCUUUUCUUUGUGUUCCUUUUCUCUCUGUUCUUCCUUUGCCUUUUGCUCCUGUUCUUCCUUUUCUCGCUUGAGUCUCUCUUUUUGUUCUUCCUUCUGCCUCUCCCGCAGUUCUUUUUCUCGUCUGUUUUUCUCCAUCAGAGCAGCAGUUUCUGCAUGCACACGGCUUUUUUCUUCUUCUGUCAGAACACUCUUAGCAUCAAGUAAUGGCUUUGUGGACCGGUCCGGAACCACGCGGCCCUUCUCAAUAGGUUGGCUGUCACUGA
RNAcentral lists this long non-coding RNA (1209 nucleotides) under Gallus gallus (chicken). Lineage: Eukaryota; Metazoa; Chordata; Aves; Galliformes; Phasianidae. The record is from RNAcentral.